GAGAAAUACUACAUAGUUCUAACCAGAACAACAAUUUCAGUUGUCCUUCAAAUCUCAAGAAUACUUGAGAACGACCAUUUUCACCCUCAUCGGCGGCAACACAAUAACAAUCGGAAACAAUAGUACCACAGAAGAGAUUCAUUUCUGACAAAGUUACGGAAGCUACUCUAGUAGCCACAUCAUUUUUUUUAUCUAAUGUGUGCUUUCAAGAUGAACAUCUACUUUGUUAUUUUUCGAUUGCUCUGGCAUAUCUUUUCAUUUCUCCAGACUUUCUUCUGGAACUCUCUUCUUUGUUCAUCGUUAUUUUUGAUGCUGCCUAUCACUGUAUUCAGGUUAGUUUUGUUGUGCUAUUUUUGUUCUUCGUCUUGUUUGUUGCUUUGAAUUUUUAUCCUUUUACUGUUUUUGUUGCUUUUGUUUUUUGUAACUUUCGUCCUGCUUUUUUUCCUAAAACGUUAAAGUCUGAUUUUGAUUUAUGGUAUCUCAAACAAAUGAACCUUUCAGUUGUGUGUAUACAGUUAAUUCAAAAUGUCCACAACUGUCGGAAUUAGAAAUUUCAGAUUUUUCUCCCCAAGAAUUAUUGUUUGUCUUCCAUGUCCACUAUAUGUUCGAUAAUUUGUUCAAGAAGGAAUUAUGUGCUCGGGUUCAAUUAAUGAGUUUGGCUUAAUCGAAUUAAAGCUUUGCUUCAGAAUGAUGAUUAAGUACAAAUUUAAAGGUUGAGCGCUAACUCAAUUAGUGAACUUCCUAUUUUUCGCACGCGAAAUAAGUUCAAAUUCCAUUCAUAGAGUAUAGCAAAUUUUCUCUUAUCAGAAUACCAUAAAGCAGAAUGCUUUUUUAAUAGAGGCAAUUUUUGCUUAUUUCUGUAUCCUGUGAACUAUUUUAGCAUGUAUGAGGAUGCCACUGUUGUGUAGGUUUAAAUUCAAAUCGGAUCGACAUAAUGGACUGUGCAGAAUUUUGUGAACUUUUGACAUAAAGGUGUUGUAUAUCUAAUUGUUGAUUGCGCUGUUCAAGCCUCUGGAUUUGUGUUAUAUGCUUUGAUAAAAUGACCAAGAAGGUAAGCUUAGCACUUAGUGAAAAGAGUAUAGACGUUGAUGUUUCUUCGUUGGAGAUUUUGCUA
RNAcentral lists this long non-coding RNA (1114 nucleotides) under Capsicum annuum. RNAcentral describes it as "long non-coding RNA (CANN_LNC016110)". Lineage: Eukaryota; Viridiplantae; Streptophyta; Magnoliopsida; Solanales; Solanaceae. The record is from RNAcentral.